Zea mays is the source of this 8599-nucleotide RNA transcript. RefSeq lists it as uncharacterized. Lineage: Eukaryota; Viridiplantae; Streptophyta; Magnoliopsida; Poales; Poaceae. The record is from RefSeq and is a predicted model, not a curated record. The transcript has 36 exons.
AAGGCCUGGAAGCCAAAGGCUGCAAUCGAACACUCCGGUACUUCGCCACACCGCGAAAGCACGGCGGCUCCUAUCCCGCGCGGGCAUCGCCAUGCCCGCUAUCCCCCUCGUGAUCCCCAACGCACUAGCUGGCUAGGCGCUCACCGACGUUCCUCUCCAUGGCGGCGUCGGAGCGGGAGGCCGCGCUCCUCACACGCGUGGCAGCGAACCACCUCUUUCUCGCGCAGUUCGAGCCCCUGCGUGCGGUGCUCCUCAGCCUCCGCCGCCGUGACCCGGUGCUAUGUGCGGACUUCCUCCGCGCGGUCGCCGCUGCGGGCGGCCGCGUCCCGGGCGUGCUCUGGUCCGCUCCCCCUGCCUGCCCGUCCCCAUCCCACCUCGCCUGGCUUGCCGUGCUCGAACUCGCCGCCCUCCCCUCCACUCCCAAUCCCGAGGCGCUGCGCCUGAAGGCAGAGUUCCUGGUCCUCCUCCAGCCCAUCGCUGACGACCCCGCCAUUGGCGCCGAGGCCAGAGAAAUCCUCACGAAACUGCUGGAUUUGGGGGUGACGAGGUUGAAGCUCGAGGUCGAAGGCGGAGGGGACGCAGGUGCUAGUGCCGAGGAAGCCUCCGUGAAGGAUCUGAGAGGGCUAUGGGAAGUGUUCCUCGACAACGCCUUUGUGUUUGAUGCGUUGUGCAUAGGCGUCUCGAGGCAGAUCGCCUUGGACAGGGGUUUCGGUGUGGAUGUGCUCCUAUGGCUGCGGCGGAACGUGCAACUUGCCCAUUUGGAUGCCGUGAAGACUCUUGUCACGGAAGGUGAUCUGGAUGCUGCUCCUGGCCAUCUUCGGUUUCUUUGCCUUGACCAUGGACUGGAGAAGGAUGAGUACAAGGUUGUCAUAGCAGAGCUUCUCAGAAAGGGAUGGGCAAAAACAUCCAAUUAUGGUGGAACAUGGUCUGAGUUGCAGAAUAGGAUAACUAAAUUAUAUGGAGCAGCUCUUCAAUCUACUAGUCCCGAGCUCGUGCAACUUGUUCAGCUCAUUCUGGAUAACAUUCUUUCUGAAGAAAUUGAAGAUCAUGAUGUCUCUGAUGCUAAUGGGAUGCCUCUUCCUUUCGAAAAAUUUCUCGAAACAUUGUUGUUGGAGAGGGAUACUGACUCAGAUGACAAGGUCUUGUUGGAUGCGGCUAUAACGUCCUGCAAAAAAGAUCUGUACCAUUAUUGCCGAUUGUCUGGAAAGCACAUGCUUGAAGUAGUCUUGGAAACUGCUCUAUCAUCAAUUAAGAGGGAGCAGCUUCUUGAGGCUGUUGAUGUUGUUUCGUUGUUCCCCCUUCUCCACCCACUGGUUGCUGUCUUGGGAUGGGAUAUUUUGAAGGGUAAAACAGGUCUGCGGAGAAAGCUAAUGCAGCUGUUCUGGACAAGCAAAUCCCAAGGUCUACGACUACAGGAAUAUUCACAUUACCGUAGCCCGACAGAUGAGACAUCCUGUGAAGAGUACUUGUGUGAUCUUCUAUGCUUCCAUCUGGACCUUGCACGUUUUGUUUCAAGUGUUAAUUCUGGCUGUUUGUGGAAUUUGAGGAAUUCAUUGUUGUUUACCCAACAAGAGCAAGGUUCAGAUGUUAACAAUGCAGAAAUAUUAGACCCUUUUGUCGAGAACUUGAUACUUGAGCGGUUAGCUGUUCAGAGUCCCAUGAGAGUGCUAUUUGACGUAGUCCCAGGAAUAAAAUUUCAAGAUGCGAUCGAGCUUGUUGGUAUGCAGCCACUUCCUUCAACAACUGCCGCUUGGAAGAGGAUGCAUGAUAUUGAACUGAUGCACAUGCGAUAUUCUCUUCAGUCAGUUGCGCUUGCUCUAGGAGAGAUGGAAAAGUGUACAGGUGAUGAGAAUGAGUGUUAUUAUCAUAAAGCAUUGUCAUAUCUCAGGGAGAUGCAAAAUUUUAUGGAGGCUAUCAAAAGUUCUCCAAGAAAGAUUUUCAUGGUUAGCAUUAUUUUAUCCUUGUUACACAUGGAUGAUUGUGCCAAAUUGUCUCAAUCUGUCCCUUCUGAGUGCUAUGUUAGUCAUGAAUGCCAUGAUAUAAAUAUCGAAUCUGAGGGAAAGAACGUGGUGGUAUAUUUUGUUGGGCUUUUACUUGAUAUACUUCGUCAUAAUCUCGAAUCAAAAGGCUCUGAUACGGAUCACCUUUCAAGUACUGGUCUGUCGCCUGCUGGUAGACAAGCGUUAGAAUGGAGGCUCAAACAUGCCAAACAUUCUAUUGAAGACCUGGAUUGGCGUCUAUCUGUUCUAAAACGUCUUCCACCUCUGUCUGAGCGGCAAUGGAGUUGGAAGGAGGCAUUAGUUCUUCUACGUGCUGCUCCUUCGAAAUUACUGAAUCUAUGCAUGCAAAGGGAAAACUAUGAUAUAGGAGAAGAAGCUGUGCAACGAUUUUCUUUACCUGCUGAGGAUAAAGCUUCCCUUGAACUAGCUGAAUGGGUAGCUGGUGCAUAUAAAAGAGCACUGGUUGAGGAUGCUGUUAAUCGUGUCACAGAUAAUACAAAUGCAGCACAUGAAUUGGAUAUUUUGUCAUUACGCACGCAGCUUGGUUCUUUAACUACAAUUCUGCUUUGUGUUGAUGUUGCUGCAACAUCUGCUAAGUCAGUUCAUAUGUGCCGAUUUCUUCUCGAUGAGGUGCUUUUGAAUGGCUCGCCUGGUAACCCUAUUUUUCAUCGGAGAGGUCUUCGCCAGGGAGAUCCUCUUUCUCCCAUGUUAUUUGUGAUGGUUAUGGAUGUGCUUAGCAGCUUGUUCCGGGUUGCUGAAAAUAGAGGCUUGUUGCAGGGCCUUGGGGGAGCUGAUGUUCGCAGUCGUGUCUCCAUCUAUGCGGAUGAUGUGGUCCUUUUCAUAAAGCCAAUUGAAGCAGAUCUGAAUUGUGCUAAGAUAAUGCUAAACUGUUUUGGUUCGGCUUCUGGUCUGGUAACCAAUAUGCUCAAGAGCAGUGCUAUUCCAAUUAGAUGUGAUGAUCAGCAGGUGCUUGCUGGUUGCAGUGUGCUGCAUUGCAGUCCCGCUGCGUUUCCUUGCAGGUAUCUGGGGCUGUCCAUUUCUGAUAAAAAAUUGAGGAAAUGUGACCUUAAGUUAUGGAUUGAGAAGAUCGCAGAUCGACUGCCUAACUGGAAGGCUCGGUUGCUCAACCUGGCUGGGCGGACUGCGUUGGUGAAGUUUGUUCUAUCGGCCAUUCCGACUUAUCUUCUUAUUGCAAUCAAUGUCCCUCAGUGGGUUAUUAAAUCAAUUGAUAAAAUUCGGCGAGGAUUUCUUUGGAGAGGAAGAAAGGAGGUUAAUGGUGGUAGUUGUCUUGUUCCAUGGGAAGUUGUCACGAGGCCUCUGAGGCUUGGUGGGCUUGGGAUCCCUAACCUUAAGCUCAAAAGCUGGGCAUUGCAGGCAAAAUGGUUAUGGUUGGAAAAGACGGAUCAGAGCAGACCUUGGCGUGGGUUGUCCCUCCCAGUGCAACGUCAGGCAACAAGCAUGUUAUCUGAAAUAUUUCCAGGAAGGUCCCCCAAAGUAGGACCAACUUACUGGGAUCAGAUCCAAGAACUUGCUACCAUAUCAGUGAUAAAGCGCAUACUUCAGCGUCUGCAUGACAUCUUGGAUCUGGAUACUCUUCCAUCUCUUCAAGUGUUCUUUACUGAGAUGAGCAUCUCUUCGUCAACGGAAUGUAGCAGAGUUGGACAAAAGCAACGUCCUCUUGGGCUUCUGCACCAAAUGAUUGAUGACGCCUUCAAAGGAAAGCGACAGUUCUUGAGUGGUAAGCUUCACAAUGUUGCUAGAGCUAUUGUUGAUGAGGACUUUGAUACUGUUUAUUCGAAAGAAGGUGUCAACUUAGAAAAGAAGGAUAUUUUGAGCUCUGAAAAAGGCAUACUCCUUGGUCACGGGCUUAGAAUUCUAAAACAAGCAUCUAGGAGUGACCUUGCAUCUUCAAAUGUUGUGGAUAGUGGUCCAGAACACAAAGGUUCUGCAAACAGAUAUCUGGGCCCUCUAUCUACCAAGCCGUCAACAUAUUUAUCAAACUUCAUAAUAUAUACUGCAACCAUUGGUGACAUAGUUGAUGGAACUGACACAACUCAUGAUUUCAACUAUUUCUCGUUAGUCUAUGAAUGGCCAAAAGAUCUAUUAACUCGUCUGGUUUUUGAGCGUGGAAGCACUGAUGCAGCAGCAAAGGUUGCUGACACAAUGAGUGUUGAUUUUGUGCAUGAGAUUAUAUCAGCAUGUGUGCCACCUGUUUUACCUCCACGAACAGGACAAGGAUGGGCUUGCAUUCCUGUCAUACCUACCAUUUGUAAUAUUAGUUCAGAAAACAGACUAUGCACCAAGUCUUCUCCUGCUCAAGGAUGGAGUGCACAUGAUUCGUCCUUGUCUUCUCGUCAAGAACCCCUCUAUCCUCUCCAAUUAAAUUUAGUGAAGCAUUUAGCCCAGUUAUCUUCAGUAAGAGCAGUUUUGGCCUGUGUAUUUGGAAGCAGCAUACUAUCUGGGGACAAUGAAUCAUCUUUUACUCAUGUGAAAGAUUCAACACAAGCUCCAGAAACUGAGAGAUCAUUUUUUGAAUUUGCUCUUGAGCAAUCAGAGAGAUAUCCAACCUUGAACCGGUGGAUACAGAUGCAGUCUAAUCUUCAUCGAGUAUCCGAGUCUUCUAUAACAGAUAAAUCCGAAGUCUCUUUGCAUCAAUCCAAGGGAAAGUUUUGUAUGAAGCGAACCCGUGAGUCUGACAGUGAUGGUGAAUCAGAGCUUGAAGAGAAUGUCAUAAGCGGGAACACCAGUUCAAGUUCACUAGAAUCCACUAAACAUGAAGACGCUAGGCUAGAGCCAACAACUUUUAUUUCAUUUGAUUGGGAGAAUGAAGCACCAUAUGAAAAAGCUGUUGAGAGGUUAAUUAGUGAAGGAAAAUUAAGUGAUGCUCUUGCUGUGUCUGAUCGUUGUUUGCGCAAUGGAGCAUCUGAUAAUUUGCUUCAGUUGCUCAUCGAACAGAAGGAAGAAAAAGGUCCAGGCACAGGACAAAUUCAUCCAUAUGGAUCUCACAGUCUUGGGAAUGAUACUUCUCAGUACUGCUUGAGGCUGAGAGACAAAAAAGUUGCAGCUCAGCUCGCUCUAAAGUACUUGCACAGCUGGGACCUUGAUGCUGCAACCAAUGUUCUAACUAUGUGCAUGUGCCACUUACCUGAGAAUGAUCCUAUGCGCAGUGAGGUGUUGCACAUGAAGCAAUCUUUACAGAGGUAUGGCCAUAUCAUGAGUGCUGAUGAGCACUACACUAGAUGGCAAGAGGUGGAAGCUGAUUGUGAAGAUGACCCAGAGGGCUUGGCACUCCGUCUUGCUGCCAAAGGAGCUGUUUCCGCUGCUUUGGAGGUUGCUGAAAGUGCCUCUUUAUCAAUUGAUUUGCGGAGGGAGUUGCAAGGCCGUCAGCUUGUCAAACUGCUAAUCACUGAUCCACUUAAUGGCGGAGGCCCAGCUGCAGCUUCAAGAUUUCUGUCAACUUUAAGGGAUUCCAAUGAUGCUCUUCCUGUAGCCAUUGGUGCUAUGAAUUUAUUACCUGACCUGCGUUCAAAGCAGCUUCUUGUGCAUUUCUUCCUCAAGCGUACAGUUGGGAAUCUAUCAGAUGCUGAGAUUGCACGGCUUAAUUUGUGGGCAUUAGGUCUCCGUGUUCUUUCCUUAUUGCCAUUGCCAUCACAACAGCGUUGUUCUUCUCUGCACGAACACCCUCAGUUGAUCGUAGAAGUACUGUUGAUGAUGAAACAACUCCAGUCUGCUUCUUUGAUUUUGAAAGAAUUUUCUUCCUUGAGGGAUGAUAAGUUAAUUAUUGCGUAUGCUAAAAAAGCAAUCUCAAUUAACGUUAGCUCAGCUCCUAGGGAACGUCGAUCGAAUAUCUCUGCAUCAAGGGCAAAACAAAAAAAGGCUACAACUCCAGCUAAAACAAAUUUUGUGCAAAGUUUUGGUAACUUUCAGAGAGAAGCACGCAAAGCAUUCUCAUGGGUCCCCCGUGAUAGUGGCACUAAAACACCCCCAAAAGAUAUCCUUCGGAAAAGAAAGAGUUCAGGCUCUGGAGGUGAUAGAUCCUCUUGGGAAGCAAUGCCUGGUUUACAGGAGGAGCGGACACCUGUAUAUCCUUCUGAGGCGCAAGAAAGACUUCCUUUUGUCUCUGCUCCUGAUGAGUGGGUGCUGACGGGAGAUCCUGACAAGGAUGAUGCAACUCGUUCAUCCCAUAAAUAUGAAACCUCUCCUGAUAUCACACUGUUCAAGGCAUUGAUAUCCUUGUGCACCAAUGAGUCAGUAGCUGCAAAAGGUGCACUUGAAUUGUGUAUGACUCAGAUGAAGGUUGUGCUAAGCUCCCAACAGUUGCCUCUUGAUGCCUCUAUGGACAACAUAGCCCGGGCUUAUCAUGCAACGGAAACUUAUGUACAGGCACUCUCUUAUGCUAAGAAUCUAUUUAAAAAGCUCGUUGGUAGUAGUGAUUUGUCAAGUGGCUCUGAAAGAAGUAAGGAAGUUGAUGAUGUUUCUGUGGACACUGGCAGUUCAAGCACUGGGAGCCAGUAUCUGGAUGAGCUGUCUGAUUUCCUAACUCAAGCAGACAUGUGGUUAGGGCGUGCAGAGCUUCUUCAAAGCCUGCUGGGAUCAGGUAUUAUUGCCUCGCUGGAUGAUAUAGCUGACAAAGAAUCUUCAAGUAGACUACGUGACAGAUUGGUCAACGAUGAACGGUACAGCAUGGCUGUAUAUACUUGUAGAAAGUGCAAGAUUGAUGCUGUACCAGUAUGGGUUGCAUGGGGCCAUGCAUUAGUUCGAAUGGAGCACUAUGCUCAAGCUCGUGUGAAGUUCAAGCAAGCACUUCAACAAUACAAAGGCGAUGCAACUUCUGUUGUUACUGAAAUAAUCAACACAAUUGAAGGAGGGCCUCCAGUUGAUGUUUCUUCUGUCCGUUCCAUGUAUGAGCAUUUGGCAAAGAGUGCGGCGACCAUCUUUGAUGAUUCCCUUUCUGCUGAUGCUUAUCUGAAUGUUCUGUACAUGCCAUCGACAUUUCCACGAUCUGAGAGGUCCCGACAGUCCAGAGGUCAUGUAGACAGCCAAUUCAGGACUGCUAGUUCCUACCUUGAAGAUGGCCCUCGCAGCAAUCUUGAUAGUGUCCGAUAUGCUGAGUGUAUUCAUUACUUGCAAGAUUAUGCUCGGCCACAAAUGCUUGCUUUCAUGUUCAGGCAUGGCCAUUACACUGAAGCAUGCUCUCUGUUCUUCCCAUUCAGUCAACCAACCACGGAAGGGGAAACAUCUUUGUCUUCAGCUCCAUGGAGUGAUCCUUUAACAACUGAUUAUGGGACAAUUGAUGACUUGUGUGAUCUCUGUCUUGGAUAUGGUGCCAUGGCUGUUUUGGAGAAUACAAUACGGACAAUAACACAAUCGCCCACAUAUCAUGAGGCACACAUGAUUCAGUACAUGAACACUAUUAUCACCCGCAUUUGCAACUAUUGUGAAACACACAGGCAUUUUAAUUAUCUCUACAACUUCCUGGUUCUAAAAGAUGACCAUGUUGCUUCUGGCCUUUGUUGUAUUCAAUUAUUUAUGAAUUCAAUGUCUCAAGAGGAGGCUUUGAGGCAUUUGGGACAUGCCAAGGUUCCAAAAUGUGAUAUUUGUUUAGACUAUCACAACAAUGAAAAUUCGGACAUGACGAAUCAAGAAAAAUAACAUGGACCAUGGUUCGUUACAAAAAUAACUAUUUGGUUGUUUUGUCUUAUGUUUAGUUUCUUAUGAUUGCAGACACAUUUCGAAGAAGCCUUAUCUGUACGAGAUAGAACAAUCGAGGCUACUAAGUUGGUAUUGCGGUCUGCUCGGAAUAAGGGUGCACCUGGAAAAAUGACCAGGGAAACGAUAAUGAAAUAUUCCACUCGUGUUUCCUAUCAGAUGGAUGUGGUGAAGGCCCUCAAUAGUAUAGAUGGCUCUCAGUGGAAAACUUCCCUUUUUGGGAAUCCAACAGACCCUGAAACUCUGAGGCGAAGGUGCAUGGUUGUUGAAACUCUGGCUGAAAAGCAUUUUGAUUUAGCUUUCAGAAUGCUUCAUGAGUUUGAUCUCCCAGCUGUUGAUAUUUAUGCUGGGGUAGCUGCAUCCCUCGCAGAAAGGAAAAAAGGGGGCCAGUUGACAGAGUUCUUGAAGAAUAUAAGGGGGACUAUAGAUGAUGAUGAAUGGGAUCAGGUUAUUGGUGCUGCUAUAAAUGUUUAUGCCAACAAGCAUAAAGAAAGACCAGAUCGCCUUAUCGACAUGCUAAUCAGCAAUCACAGGAAAGUACUUGCUUGUGUUGUCUGUGGACGUCUAAAAAGUGCAUUCCAAAUAGCCGCACGAAGUGGAAGUGUCGCUGAUGUUCAAUAUGUUGCCCAUCAGGCAUUACAUGCAAAUGCAUUGACAGUGCUUGAUAUGUGUAAGCAAUGGCUCGCGCAGUACAUGUGAUACCAUAGAUACUUGCUGAGAGAGUUCUCACGUGAAGACAGAAAAACUAAGGGGCAUUUGGUUUGAAGAGUCAAUCUAUUUUAGAUGAUGUUGUGUAUCAUAAGUUUAUUUUAUAAAUUUGGUGGAAUAAAUUCGUUCUCCAUAUUAUUACUAAUUAUGAGCUUAUGAUGAAUGAAAUGCUGAUGAAUCAA